Molecule: small nucleolar RNA, 126 nt
Organism: Nomascus leucogenys (northern white-cheeked gibbon)
Lineage: Eukaryota; Metazoa; Chordata; Mammalia; Primates; Hylobatidae
Source: Ensembl
AGAUCAUUUCAAAGAGGGCUCGUGGGGCUAUGAAACCACGAGCUCUUAAUGCUAUGACCAAAGACUGAAGUUCUCUAUAGGAUGCCAUGGCGCUCAAUGGUGCUGUUUUCCUGAGGAGAUAUAAGA